Mesocricetus auratus (golden hamster) is the source of this 274-nucleotide unclassified non-coding RNA. Its record names the gene 7SK. It matches the Rfam family "7SK RNA". From Rfam's summary of the family: 7SK was discovered as an abundant small nuclear RNA in the mid-70s but a possible function has only recently been suggested. Two independent studies have found that 7SK RNA binds the CDK9/cyclin T complex (known as elongation factor P-TEFb). P-TEFb activates transcription by phosphorylating the C-terminal domain of RNA polymerase II. The record is from Ensembl. NCBI's taxonomy places the organism in Eukaryota, Metazoa, Chordata, Mammalia, Rodentia, Cricetidae.
GGAAGUGAGGGCAAUCUGGCUGCAAUAUCUGUCAGCCCAUUAAUCUCCAGGGUUGAUUUGGCUGAUCUGGCUGGCUAGGCAGGUGUCCCCUUCCCCCCUCACUGCUUCAUGUGCAUCCCUCCCAAAGCUGUGCUCUUGGUUGAAGAGGACUACCUUCCUGUAUAGUGGAGGAUCAGUCUCUAUUCAAGGGUAUACAAGUAGUUGCACCAUCCUGCUAGAACCUCAAAACAAGCUAUCACAAAUUUCACUUUGAAAAGACACUGUGUACAACCCU